AGGGGGAUCGCCAAGUCAGGUUUAAGGCACCGGCCUUUGACGCCGAUAUUCCAAGGUUCGAAUCCUUGUCCCCCUACCA
RNAcentral lists this transfer RNA (79 nucleotides) under compost metagenome. RNAcentral's name for it is "tRNA-Gln". It matches the Rfam family "tRNA". Rfam says of the family: Transfer RNA (tRNA) molecules are approximately 80 nucleotides in length. Their secondary structure includes four short double-helical elements and three loops (D, anti-codon, and T loops). The record is from RNAcentral.